RNAcentral lists this ribosomal RNA (301 nucleotides) under uncultured bacterium. RNAcentral describes it as "partial 16S ribosomal RNA". It matches the Rfam family "Bacterial small subunit ribosomal RNA", at positions 509 to 807 of the family's 1533-position model. The record is from RNAcentral.
CAGUAGCCACGGUAAUACAUAGGGUGCGAGCGUUAAUCGGAAUUACUGGGCGUAAAGCGUGCGCAGGCGGCUAUGCAAGACAGAUGUGAAAUCCCCGGGCUCAACCUGGGAACUGCAUUUGUGACUGCAUGGCUAGAGUACGGUAGAGGGGGAUGGAAUUCCGCGUGUAGCAGUGAAAUGCGUAGAUAUGCGGAGGAACACCGAUGGCGAAGGCAAUCCCCUGGACCUGUACUGACGCUCAUGCACGAAAGCGUGGGGAGCAAACAGGAUUAGAUACCCGUGUAGUCCCUGUCUCUUAUAC